This 498-nucleotide ribosomal RNA is filed under the name uncultured bacterium. RNAcentral's name for it is "partial 16S ribosomal RNA". It matches the Rfam family "Bacterial small subunit ribosomal RNA", at positions 28 to 523 of the family's 1533-position model. The record is from RNAcentral.
GAUGAACGCUAGCGGCAGGCCUAAUACAUGCAAGUCGAACGAUAUUAUCCAGCUUGCUGGAUAUGAAAGUGGCGCACGGGUGCGUAACGCGUAUGCAACCUACCUUAUUCAGGGGGAUAGCCCGAAGAAAUUCGGAUUAACACCGCAUAAAAUCACAGUUCUGCAUUGGACAAUGAUCAAAUAUUUAUAGGAAUAAGAUGGGCAUGCGUGUCAUUAGCUAGUUGGCGGGGUAGCGGCCCACCAAGGCGACGAUGACUAGGGGAUCUGAGAGGAUGGCCCCCCACACUGGUACUGAGACACGGACCAGACUCCUACGGGAGGCAGCAGUAAGGAAUAUUGGUCAAUGGAGGGAACUCUGAACCAGCCAUGCCGCGUGCAGGAAGACGGCCCUCUGGGUUGUAAACUGCUUUUAUUCGGGAAUAAACCUAUUUACGUGUAAAUAGCUGAAUGUACCGAAGGAAUAAGGAUCGGCUAACUCCGUGCCAGCCGCCGCGGUAA